This 252-nucleotide unclassified non-coding RNA is filed under the name uncultured bacterium. RNAcentral's name for it is "contains 16S-23S intergenic spacer region". It matches the Rfam family "Bacterial small subunit ribosomal RNA", at positions 524 to 776 of the family's 1533-position model. The record is from RNAcentral.
UACGGAAGGGGCAAGCGUUGUUCGGAAUUAUUGGGCGUAAAGGGCGCGCAGGCGGUCUCAUAUGUCUGCUGUGAAAUCACACGGCUCAACCGUGUUCAGCCGCAGAAACUGUGGGACUUGAGGCUGGGAGGGGCUGGUGGAAUUCCCCGUGUAGCGGUGAAAUGCGUAGAGAUGGGGGAGAACACUCGUGGCGAAGGCGGCCAGCUGGACCAGUUCUGACGCUGAGGCGCGAAAGCGUGGGGAGCAAACAGG